This is a long non-coding RNA of Erinaceus europaeus (western European hedgehog), 2750 nucleotides long. RefSeq lists it as uncharacterized. The transcript is spliced from 2 exons. The record is from RefSeq and is a predicted model, not a curated record. NCBI's taxonomy places the organism in Eukaryota, Metazoa, Chordata, Mammalia, Eulipotyphla, Erinaceidae.
CCAGCACAUAGGUACACCAGCACACGCUCGCGUGCACACCCGCACACACCUAUGCACACCCUCCACACCCGCACACCCGGCUCCCUCUUCCUGCCCCGAUUUGCUUCCGGGAAAACACGUCCCGCCAGCAGCAGGCACUCGCCCGAAGUCACGCAGUGAGCUACUGGCAGAACUAGAUUUGAAAAGCUCUCGGCGGGGCAUUUCCCGCGUGGCCUCUAGGCAGCGCUAGACCCCUGUGAGUGGCUCCUGCUCCGUCCUCGGGAUUUUCCUCCUCCUCCUGCCACCCCUCCCACCCCUCAGUAUCGGCUCAAUCCCUGAUCUCGGGUUCUCUCUCUCUCUCUCUCUCUCUCUCUCUCUCUCUCUGUCUCUCUCUCUGUCUCUCUCUCUGUCUCUCUCUCUGUCUCUCUCUCUCUCUCUCCCGCUGCUCCUGCGUGAAGCGCGCAAAAGUCAAGCCACUUUUCUGAGCUCCAGCUCCUCUGCAAGAAGGGGGCCUCUGAGCUGAGCUAGGGCACCACCUCGCCCCCCGCUUCUUCGCCUACCACACGGCCCUGCCCCCGAGCACCUCCGCGGAACGUGAGGAGAAAGGAGUGUGAUUUGGCAGGGUCAGGUGUACGGAUUCCUGGAAGGAGCGGUGACAACGGGAAAGACUCAGAAGACGUCCAGAGUCCCAGCAGCAGCAGCGGAGGAUGAAUGAUGGGGAAGCACAUUGUGUGGUGAUUUGCCCGUUCGUGAAUAAAGAUUAAACUGCAGCUUCUCAGCCCAGCCGUGUGUCCGCGAGUCUCUCUCUGUCUACCACCAUGAAGCUAGCCUGGCCUACUGGAGCCUCCAAACAUUAACAACAAAUGGCGCCCAACGUGGGGCUGACCUGCGCAUCUCUCAGAUAAGUGAAGACAAUUUGGCUACCUAUGUACUAUGGCCUUCUCUUCUGCUUGUGAAGAGAUCUCCAAAGGCCUCUGCCCUUUCUUCACGAGACUGUUUCGCUGUUUCUGGAACAUUUAUCUCUGGACCACUCUGUGGUUUCUGCCCAACGCCAGCCUGCAGGAGCCCAAUGCCAGCCUGCAUGAGCUGGCUUUCUGCCACGUGGCGCGGGGCAUUGGGCGCGAGCUCCCUCCACACUGCUCGGCUGCGGGGAGCAGGGCAGCAGACAUGGCAGGGCCAUGGGGCAGGGCCGCGGCAGCCUAUCAUGGCCGCCACCCCAGGGCACCUUGGCCCACGCCUUCUGCAUGGCUGGCCCACCCACCCUUGUGCUAUGAAGUCUGGACAGAUCCCAGACCACCUGGAGACCGCAGGUUCCCUGCCGAAACUGGGCCCCCUGACCGAGAUCUCCAGCUUGGGUCUGAAGGCAGACAAGCUAGAAUACACAGAGAUUCGUCCAGAGAUCGCAACCUAAAAUUCCUAGAAGUGGAGCUGCAUGGAUGGUGACCCCCCCCCCCCAACAACUAAGACAGUACAGAUCUAAAUUCGUGUUUAAAAUGACAUGUCUUUGUAACAAAAGUUUCUCUCCUUGUGUAUUGAAGACCAUGUGUAUGUGUGUGUUUAAAGUUUGGUAACAUUAACUUUAAGGUUAAAAAUGUAACUUUAAGGCUAAAUUCUUACCAGGCAAAGUUAAAUGAAAAAGGUUUUCAACGUAAUUCUCAUAAAGAUAAAAUUAACUUACAUUUAAAGUCUGAGGUAAAAAUCAGUUAACAAUCAAUAUAUUUUAACUAAGUUGGUCUAAAAAAAAAACCUGCACACACCUAGGGUGUGUCUUCAUCUUGAAUGGGUGUAACAAAAGGUUAAAAAGACAUUGUUGAUAUGUAAAAGUCUCAAAUUCCUUCUCAAUUAGAAAUGUUAGGUUGCUAUGGUUACGCUAAUAAUUCUCAUGCCUGAGGCCUUUUUCUUUCUAUGGUUCAUGUUUGCCUUUCCACAUUUUAUUGUUUGAACUUUAAAUAGCCUUGGAAUCGUGCUGGAAGGGACUUCCAAUUGUGAUAGAGUUAUCAAUUGUGGUAAACUUCUAACCUGCUACAAGUUUUGUUUCAUAAGUAAGUGAAUUGCAGCUGUCAAGUUCUCUACAGAAAAGCAGAAUUCUGAUGGCUGACAUUCCCCAUCGAGACAGAUGUACAACAAUUCACCCCCUGGCAAUUCUUCGGUGGACAUCUGCUUUGGACUUCUAUCAGACUCACUGAUACACCUUGGACACUUUGCACAAAACUAGUGGCUUCCCUUAUGCUGCUGGGUUUCUCAAAGACUGACUGCAGCCAUGCCUUGGGACUCUAGGCCUCCCCCUCCCCCCAUGCUAGAAAAUGCCUGUCGAGGCAAGUACGCCCCCCAGAGGCAGGAAAUGUUUUUUUUAAGCUGAUAAAGUUUUGCCCACAGAGGCAAAAAAUGCCCCCCUCAGGCCUUCCCUUGGCAGCACACUGGUUCUUGUUACUUGCUUACAUGUUUCUCCAUGUUUGUGCCAGUUUCUUUUUUGAAAAUGCCUGUACGAUACAGGUUUCUGUUCACCCCACACCCCUGAUACUGUGGUCAUUUAGUUAAAAAGAAAAGGGGGAAUAUGUGGGUAUUCUUUGUGUUGGUUUGGCCCCCAUCCCCCUACCUCUGAGAGAAUUGGUUUGACCCUUGCUAGUUUCGCGCCCCGCUUUCUCCCUGCCCCCUAUGCUAAGGACGUCCAGAGUCCCAGCAGCAGCAGCGGAGGAAGAAUGAUGGGGAAACACAUGGUGUGGUGAUUUGCCCAUUUGUGAAUAAAGAUUAAACUGCAGCUUCUCAGCCCA